Alosa sapidissima (American shad) is the source of this 336-nucleotide long non-coding RNA. RefSeq lists it as uncharacterized. Lineage: Eukaryota; Metazoa; Chordata; Actinopteri; Clupeiformes; Clupeidae. The record is from RefSeq and is a predicted model, not a curated record. The transcript is spliced from 4 exons.
CCCCAGGAAUGAGGCAUUCAGGUGGCGUGACUGGCGUGCCCUGUCUGCAAUCCUCCCUUUCAGUAAGUCUCUUCAGCCCCAGGACCGAGGCGUUGAGGUGGCGUGAAUUCGGCGUGCCCUGUCUGCAAUCCUGCCUUUCACCCCAGGACCGAGGCGUUGAGGUGGCGUGACUGGCGUGAAUUCGGCAUGCCCUGUCUGCAAUCCUGCCUUUCAGUAAGGGGCAGUAAGGACAAGAUCCACCCACCACCCAGUGCAUGCUACAUAUGUGUGUGUAAUAAAUUGAGAGGGAAAGUGUGUGUGAUAAAUGAAAUUUAAUAAAGUAAGUAAAAUUUUGAA